Molecule: long non-coding RNA, 3668 nt
Organism: Triticum aestivum (bread wheat)
Lineage: Eukaryota; Viridiplantae; Streptophyta; Magnoliopsida; Poales; Poaceae
Exons: 5
Source: RefSeq, a predicted model, not a curated record
GCAAUUUAUGCCCUAUAUAGUAAGCUAGAGGGCUCUUUCUGAUUCUUUGUGUGUGUAUAGAUACGCAGGUUCUUAGCAAUGAGCCGUUCUGGUUAAUUCUUAUGCAUGUGGUUGCUAUGCCUCUCUUAGUAUUUCUGUGAUUUUUCAUGCAUUUAGUUCUGCUUCCUAUCCAAACAUGGUGUUCAGUUCACUAUCUUUUGUUGUGCACAAUGCUUGGAUAUGCCCUACGGAGAAUUCUCAAAAUUCUUAUUCUUUGAAUUGUUUAGCUUAGGAGCAUUUGUUGUACGUAAGCACAUACAGAAAUAAGAUUUUAUCUACUUCUAAGGAUAUGGUGGUAGAAACAACAAGGAGCAUGACCAGGAUAGGAGAGUACAGAGGGCUCUGCCAGUGCACUACAUCACAGAUGUCAUCUGUAGGAAUGAUGGCAUCGACUGUCAUUUGCACGUUUACAGAUUCACAAUGGAGGUGAGAUUGGUAUAUGCUUCGUCAGCACAAGUCCUAUGUAACGAAGUUGGAUAAUAUACGAUUCCUUACGAAAGACUAAUUUCGAGAAUGCAUCUUUUGUGAGAUUAAUAGCUAGCUUGAUUUGGAUGCUGUUGGAAUUGUUUUAUUCUUUUAGGUGUCAUGAUCUCUAGCGGUAGCUAGCCUGGUUUGGAGGUGUUGAUCCUUCACAUCACAUUCGGAACCGUUCGCUCUUUGGUUACGAUUUGGCUGCCAUACAGCGGAAUCUGGCUGAAAAAGGGAAACCAAACAGGGCCAAAAAUUCUUCGCAUUAUUCAGGUAUGCAGGAGAAUAAUGGAGUUGUUCGAUCUGGAGUUUAUUCCAAGGUGCAAAAUUUACCAAAAUGAACUAUAAUGCUAAUGAUUUUGUUCCAUUUAAUUUCUUGGGAGUUGUCGCACAUUAAAUUCUUGCCGCAAUCCCUCUAUAAAUUUUUAGGCGUUCUGAAUUUUGAUGUAGCCAUUCGUCUCAUAGCUGCAAUCGGAAGGCCAAAUUCAAAGUUCGGUCUUUUUCUGGAAACUAAAACAGUGGCAUAUAGUAUUUUCUUCCACUCUAUUAUAUCCUCUUGUUUUCUAGAGAACUGAUCAUACCUAUCUUGCUGGAUUUGUUUAUGAUCUGUGUUUUACUCUGGGUGUCUCUUGACAAAAAUGGAUAUGAAUGAGAGGCGCUCCAAGGAGCAAGAGAAAUCAUGUGUAAAUACAAGUGCACUUUGAUUUUUUAUGCCAUUUAUAUAACUAAAAUAUUAAUGAUGGUUGUACAUAGAGUUUUAGACCUGUGGCUCUUUUGUUUACAUUUAAUCAUGUGUAAAACUUGGGAACAUGUAUGGAUGGACAAUACUAUGUGGAUUUGAUCAUUUUAUUGACUAAUUAUACAUCGUAUGAACUUAUAGAGUUUAGAGUUGUUUAUCCUGUUCUAAUGCUGGAGUUAAAAGUUUCAUGUAGCUAAUGCCAUCAUCUUUAUAAUAGAGCGGCAACAUACUCCGUAAGUUUUCACCCUACUCUAGGAAGCCAUUUCAUCAGUUUUUGGCUUCUGACACACUCGGAGCAACAAAUUUUGUGCUGCUAAUUGUUCUGUCCUCUCCGUUCUCUCUCUUUGCACUUACUUGUGAUUUUUGCUUAUGUCCGCGUACAGAUUUCAUCCAGGAAAUUUAGUCCUAGGGACUUUGAUAUACAAUGAUACACCAAAGCAAGCAAAGAAGCCAAAAGAAGUUAAAUGUUUUUACCUGCUGCUGGCAUCCGAUGAGCAGUUGCAGGUGUCAACCAUAGUAUUGUUAUAUGAAGUGAGAGUUGCAUGUGCUUAUCUGAAGCUUAUACUAAUAAUGUGCCUCCCUAAUUGUGGCUGAUCUGGAGCUCAUACCCAUGUUGGGAAUUUGCAGCAGGUCUGAUCCCUUGCGCGUGCUCCUCCGCUUGCCCUCUCGACCCUCCCCUUGCUCAUCGCCGUCCAUUUUAUUCAGAGUGUAGAUGGCGGGCAAAACACCUAAGCUCCAGAGCAAGGAUGAAAAGCACUCCAUACACACUCACAAGGAUGAUGAUCCAUCUGUUUCUAGGAUGGUGGGACUUGAGGUCAAACUGCACAGGUAUGCACCAGAUUCAAGGAUCAGCUACUUGAUGAAAUAUACAGGAGACUCUCCUACUCAACAUUACCUUAAAAAAGAAUCAAGGAUCAGUUCAAUGGGAAUUGGAAUGAUGAAAACACUUGUUUGAGCACAUCUGAUCCUCAUAAUAGCAUAUUUUUAAUAAAUCACUGUAGUCAAAUCACUUUUUUUUAUAAUUUCUAUAGUAAAAUCACUUACUAUUGUGUAUAAGUGCCAUUAAGGAUAAUCCUAGAUCUGCGGGAUAGUUUGGAAGUUAUACCCAAGGCAUUAUAAUUGCUCUAUAUUAUUAUUAAUUUCGUAUAUCAUCACCUUAGACUACUCGAACUGUCGGCCAUGCUUUGUGAUUAAACAAUUCUUGACUGAUUAAAUCCAUUUCAAGUGUAAUGCAAGUGUUGAAUUGUGAUCCAUGAACAGCAAGCCCAUUUGGGGAAUGUAUUUGAACAAUGACCCAAGCAGUCGCACAAGUGGAUCUGCACAUAUUAUUAUCAAGGUAUCGUCUCAUCUUUCAAUUUUCUUUGCCACUCUAAAAUAAUCGGUUUUCUCUUUCAUGUGAGCAUUUUGAUUUUUUUUCUAGAAGCUUGACAAGAAAACUGAAAACAAAUAAUUAGAGAAGAUUAACCGGGCGGGAGGAGAGGGAAGAAGGGAUAAAGAGAAAAGAAAUACAUAGUAAAGUUAUAUUGAUUAAAGAGUUCUAGCAAUGCAUCUGCUUCUAACUAUAUAUAAAGAUCUUGCAUGUGAUUAACCGGGCGGGAGGAGAUGGAAGAAGGGCUUGGCCACUUGGAUCGUGAGAUGACUAUUCGGUUGACCAUUUGUGCUAUCUAUUCAAUGUCAUGCAUCAUAGAAACAAAGAUUAGUUUUGUUGUUGUGGAUUUUGCAGGAAAACAGAGUAGGUCAUGGUGGAUGAAGAGAACAUUAACCGACAGACUUUUCGGUAAAAAAAUUGGCUGCCUUGAUUAGUUUAUUUCUUAUCAAUUAAAUUUGUAUGUGAAGUACAAAAAGUUGAUAAUUGGGACAGAAUUAUGACUUUUACUAUGUACCAUUUUCAUAUAUUCCUCAACAACACGUCUAGAUUCAUGUAGAUAAUAAUUUGAACACGUCUAGCAAUUUACAUGUCUUCUGGGCAAGCUAAGCUAUUUUCUUGAUGAUCCAAGCAGGUUGCUGAUCAAAUAUAAAAUAUGUAAUUUUCUGGUUCAGUAAUAAACGGGCAAUUCAACUUAUGGCUGGGGCAGCCUGAUUUCCUCCUACACACGCCCGCUAGCAGCAGCAGUUACGACCAGGCGGUUGCGGAAGGUGAUAGGUGUGGUGGUCGGCGGUGCCUGGGCUAUUGAUGUUCGAUUUGAGAGGAAGAAGAGAGAUUGGCUGCUGAUUUUGGGAGGAAGAAGAGAGAUUGAGCGUGCUGUUGCUGCCGUGUGUGGUCUUGGGAGAGGAAUAAAAGAGAGUAGUAGAGAGCUUUAGAGAGAUAGCAAAGGAUUGAGAGGCUACUCCUAUUUGUAUUGCUGUCGAUGCUUGCACAAUGCCACUGCUUAUUAUACUGUGUUAUUCAUCUUUGAAAAAAACAAUCAUUUUCUCCCUUCAA